This 73-nucleotide transfer RNA is filed under the name Paramuricea clavata. It matches the Rfam family "tRNA". From Rfam's summary of the family: Transfer RNA (tRNA) molecules are approximately 80 nucleotides in length. Their secondary structure includes four short double-helical elements and three loops (D, anti-codon, and T loops). Lineage: Eukaryota; Metazoa; Cnidaria; Anthozoa; Malacalcyonacea; Plexauridae. The record is from Rfam by way of RNAcentral.
GACCGCGUAGCUCAGUUAGAAGAGCAUUGGGCUAGUAUUCCAAAGGUCGUAGGUUCGAGUCCCGCCGUGGCCA